Molecule: ribosomal RNA, 529 nt
Filed under: uncultured Glomus
Lineage: Eukaryota; Fungi; Glomeromycota; Glomeromycetes; Glomerales; Glomeraceae
Description: SSU rRNA
Rfam family: Eukaryotic small subunit ribosomal RNA
Source: RNAcentral
AGCAGCCGCGGUAAUUCCAGCUCCAAUAGCGUAUAUUAAAGUUGUUGCAGUUAAAAAGCUCGUAGUUGAAUUUCGGGAUUGGCGCAUCGGUCGUGCCUUACGGGGUAUGAACUGGUGCAGUCAAUUUCUCACCUUCUGGAGAACCGCGAUGUCCUUAAUUGGGUGCCGCGGGGAACCAGGACCUUUACUUUGAAAAAAUUAGAGUGUUUAAAGCAGGCAUUUUUGCUUGAAUACAUUAGCAUGGAAUAAUAAAAUAGGACGGCAUGGUUCUAUUUUGUUGGUUUCUAGGACCACCGUAAUGAUUAAUAGGGAUAGUUGGGGGCAUUAGUAUUCAAUUGUCAGAGGUGAAAUUCUUGGAUUUAUUGAAGACUAACUACUGCGAAAGCAUUUGCCAAGGAUGUUUUCAUUAAUCAAGAACGAAAGUUAGGGGAUCGAAGACGAUCAGAUACCGUCGUAGUCUUAACCAUAAACUAUGCCGACUAGGGAUCGGAUGAUGUUAAUUUUAUAAUGACUCAUUCGGCGCCUUACG